Molecule: ribosomal RNA, 482 nt
Filed under: Fusarium acuminatum
Lineage: Eukaryota; Fungi; Ascomycota; Sordariomycetes; Hypocreales; Nectriaceae
Also listed under: 1 other name
Description: eukaryotic LSU rRNA
Rfam family: Eukaryotic large subunit ribosomal RNA
Source: RNAcentral
CAACAGGGAUUGCCCUAGUAACGGCGAGUGAAGCGGCAACAGCUCAAAUUUGAAAUCUGGCUCUCGGGCCCGAGUUGUAAUUUGUAGAGGAUACUUUUGAUGCGGUGCCUUCCGAGUUCCCUGGAACGGGACGCCAUAGAGGGUGAGAGCCCCGUCUGGUUGGAUGCCAAAUCUCUGUAAAGUUCCUUCGACGAGUCGAGUAGUUUGGGAAUGCUGCUCUAAAUGGGAGGUAUAUGUCUUCUAAAGCUAAAUAUUGGCCAGAGACCGAUAGCGCACAAGUAGAGUGAUCGAAAGAUGAAAAGCACUUUGAAAAGAGAGUUAAAAAGUACGUGAAAUUGUUGAAAGGGAAGCGUUUAUGACCAGACUUGGACUUGGUUAAUCAUCUGGGGUUCUCCCCAGUGCACUUUUCCAGUUCAGGCCAGCAUCAGUUUUCGCCGGGGGAUAAAGGCUUCGGGAAUGUAGCUCUCUUCGGGGAGUGUUAU